RNAcentral lists this ribosomal RNA (432 nucleotides) under uncultured bacterium. Its description in RNAcentral is "bacterial SSU rRNA". It matches the Rfam family "Bacterial small subunit ribosomal RNA", at positions 354 to 776 of the family's 1533-position model. The record is from RNAcentral.
GUGGGGAAUAUUGCGCAAUGGCCGAAAGGUUGACGCAGCGACGCCGCGUGUGGGAGGACGCCCUUCGGGGUGUAAACCACUGUCAGGGGGGAAGAACUUCGCAGGUGUGAAUAGCGCUUGCGGUUGACGGUACCCCCAGAGGAAGCGCCGGCUAACUCCGUGCCAGCAGCCGCGGUAAGACGGAGGGCGCAAGCGUUGUUCGGAAUUACUGGGCGUAAAGGGCAGGUAGGUGGUCUGUUAAGUCUUCUGUGAAAAUCCGGGGCUCAACCCCGCGAAAUGCAGGUGAAACUGGCAGACUUGAGACCGGUAGAGGCUAGCGGAAUUCCUGGUGUAGCGGUGGAAUGCGUAGAUAUCAGGAAGAACACCUGUGGCGAAGGCGGCUAGCUGGGCCGGUUCUGACACUAAACUGCGAAAGCGUGGGGAGCAAACAGG